AUGGGGUCAAGGCCCCGCCCGCCUUGGAGCCCCAGGGGCUGCGUUGGCUUCUGUUGGAAAAUGUGCAUUCUCCUCUGACAUUCCGAUGGUUUUGAUUUUUGUUUUGUGUUUUUAGUUUCUUUAUCAUUUGCAGUCAGAAUUUCUAAGCCUCCCCUCCUUCUCUCCCUCACAGCCCACGGCACUGGCACUUCCGAGCUCCUUCUCUCUUCUUUUCAUCUUUCUGCAGCGCCAGGCCCCGGGGGCUCUGGCCUAGGGAUGCAUGCAGAGGCACUGGUGCAGGGGAGCGGGAGGUGGUAGUGGCACAACGUUCCCGCGAUUUUAACUUUUGAAAUUGAGUUUCCUCUCCAGUAAAACGGUGACGAUUUCUGUCGGCUUCUGAAUUUGGAAUCAGAAUCUGACGGGUGGGACCAGUGGCUCAUAACGGGGGACCUGGCGGCUGACGUCCAAUCCUCCUCUACCCACAGGGAGGAGCCUGGGGCCCGGGGCCCGGGUGGUGACCCUGGAGCCUUGUCCCCUCCUUGCGGUGCUGCUGUGAGAACAGAUGAGGAAACGACUUGGAAUGAAUGUUUUGGUGCCUCCACCGUGAAGCCCUCACCCGCUGAAGGCAGAGCCGGGACCCUGUCUGCUCCGCCGCCCAGUCCGUGCCCCUGCGAUGGGGGUCAGGUGGCAGCAGAGAGAGAAGCAACCCGAACGCCCGGGAACUGUCUCCGAGGGGACGUGCG
Long non-coding RNA from Physeter macrocephalus (sperm whale), 722 nucleotides. RefSeq lists it as uncharacterized. The record is from RefSeq and is a predicted model, not a curated record. The transcript is spliced from 3 exons. Lineage: Eukaryota; Metazoa; Chordata; Mammalia; Artiodactyla; Physeteridae.